UGAGGAAUAUUGGUCAAUGGACGCAAGUCUGAACCAGCCAAGUAGCGUGCAGGAUGACGGCCCUAUGGGUUGUAAACUGCUUUUAUAUGGGGAUAAAGCGGGGAACGUGUUCCCUUUUGCAGGUACCAUAUGAAUAAGGACCGGCUAAUUCCGUGCCAGCAGCCGCGGUAAUACGGAAGGUUCGGGCGUUAUCCGGAUUUAUUGGGUUUACAGGGAGCGUAGGCCGUUUGGUAAGCGUGUUGUGAAAUGUAGGAGCUCAACUUCUAGAUUGCAGCGCGAACUGUCAGACUUGAGUGCGCACAACGUAGGCGGAAUUCAUGGUGUAGCGGUGAAAUGCGUAGAUAUCAUGAAGAACUCGGAUUGAGAAGGCAGCUUACGGGAGCGCAACUGACGCUGAAGCUCGAAGGUGCGGGUAUCGAACGGG
This 424-nucleotide ribosomal RNA is filed under the name Verrucomicrobiota bacterium. RNAcentral describes it as "Verrucomicrobia bacterium partial 16S ribosomal RNA". It matches the Rfam family "Bacterial small subunit ribosomal RNA", at positions 355 to 776 of the family's 1533-position model. Lineage: Bacteria; Pseudomonadati; Verrucomicrobiota. The record is from RNAcentral.